This is a non-coding RNA of Acanthosepion pharaonis, 111 nucleotides long. NCBI's taxonomy places the organism in Eukaryota, Metazoa, Mollusca, Cephalopoda, Sepiida, Sepiidae. The record is from the annotation of a GenBank genome assembly.
UGGCUACAUCAUGGGGAAACACUGGUUCCUGUAUGAUCACUGAAGUUAAGCAACAUUGAGACUGGUCAGUGUUUAAAUGGGUGACCACUUGGGAAUGCAAGGCGCUGUAAG